GGAUUAGAUACCCUGGUAGUCCACGCCGUAAACGAUGAGAACUAGCUGUUGGGAGGGCUUAACCUCUUAGUAGCGAAGCUAACGCGAUAAGUUCUCCGCCUGGGGAGUACGGCCGCAAGGUUAAAACUCAAAGGAAUUGACGGGGGCCCGCACAAGCGGUGGAGCAUGUGGUUUAAUUCGAUGCAACGCGAAAAACCUUACCUACCCUUGACAUCCUCGGAACUUACCAGAGAUGGUUUGGUGCCUUCGGGAACCGAGUGACAGGUGCUGCAUGGCUGUCGUCAGCUCGUGUCG
RNAcentral lists this ribosomal RNA (294 nucleotides) under uncultured bacterium. Its description in RNAcentral is "partial 16S ribosomal RNA". It matches the Rfam family "Bacterial small subunit ribosomal RNA", at positions 775 to 1067 of the family's 1533-position model. The record is from RNAcentral.